AUAUUACAAUAUCAUGUGAAAUUAUUAUAUUCUCGCCUAAUUUAAAAGCACACAACCAUUACGAUCACAACUAAAGAUACAAUCAUAUGCGAACCUAGGGCGUAAUAAUUAUUUUUAUAGGGCUUUAUAAAAACAUAUUUAUGUACGUUCUUAUAUUAUAAUAUCUAAGUAUUUUUCUAAUAUAUUUACCUACUAGAAUAUUUGAUUAGAACAGUGUUUG
Non-coding RNA from Cinara cedri, 220 nucleotides. Lineage: Eukaryota; Metazoa; Arthropoda; Insecta; Hemiptera; Aphididae. The record is from the annotation of a GenBank genome assembly.